This 898-nucleotide ribosomal RNA is filed under the name Thermotogae bacterium enrichment culture clone L11_1_5. Its description in RNAcentral is "bacterial SSU rRNA". It matches the Rfam family "Bacterial small subunit ribosomal RNA", at positions 8 to 916 of the family's 1533-position model. The record is from RNAcentral. Lineage: Bacteria; Thermotogati; Thermotogota; Thermotogae.
AGAGUUUGAUCCUGGCUCAGGGUGAACGCUGGCGGCGUGCUUGACACAUGCAAGUCGAACGGUAUGUGGCAACACAUAGAGUGGCGAACGGGUGAGUAACACGUGGGAACGUAUCUUUUGCAGGGGGAUAACUGACCGAAAGGACAGCUAAUACCGCAUAAGUCCGGGAGGAGAAAGGUGCAACAGCAUCGGCAGAAGAGCGGCCCGCGGUCCAUCAGCUAGUUGGUGAGGUAAGGGCUUACCAAGGCGACGACGGAUAGCCGGCGUGAGAGCGUGGCCGGCCACAAGGACACUGAGAUACGGGUCCUACUCCUACGGGAGGCAGCAGUGCGGAAUUUUAGAUAAUGGAGGGAACUCUGAUCUAGCGACGCCGCGUGCAGGAAGAAGGUCUUCGGAUUGUAAACUGCUGUGGUAAGGGAAAAAUGCUAUGUAGAGUGGAAAGCUACAUAGAGGGAUGGUACCUUACUAGAAAGCCCCGGCUAACUACGUGCCAGCAGCCGCGGUAAUACGUAGGGGGCGAGCGUUACCCGGAAUCACUGGGCGUAAAGGGAGCGUAGGUGGCCUAACAUGUCAACUGUGAAAACCCGGAGCUCAACUCCGGACUUGCAGUUGAAACUGGUAGGCUUGAGGACGGUAGAGGAAGACGGAACUGCCAGUGUAGGGGUAAAAUCCUUAGAUAUUGGCAGGAACGCCGGUGACGAAAGUGGUUUUCUGGGCCGGUUCUGACACUGAUGCUCGAAAGCCAGGGGAGCGAACGGGAUUAGAUACCCCGGUAGUCCUGGCCCUAAACGAUGUUCACUAGGUGUGGGGAGCGGAAAGCUCUCCGUGCUAAAGCUAACGCGAUAAGUGAACCGCCUGGGGAGUACGCCCGCAGGGUGAAACUCAAAUGAAUUGACGG